Molecule: long non-coding RNA, 7039 nt
Organism: Brassica napus (rape)
Lineage: Eukaryota; Viridiplantae; Streptophyta; Magnoliopsida; Brassicales; Brassicaceae
Exons: 2
Source: RefSeq, a predicted model, not a curated record
UACACCAUUGUUUUUCUUCUUCUCGAUACUAGGUUUGCUCACGGAUUCGUCGCGGAUCGAUCCCUGAUCAAAUGGAUUCAAUUUCUUGGGCUUGAUAAUGCAUCGGUUCAUGCUAAUUCAAUUUUAGACGAAGAAACUAAUCUCCGCUCUUGUCUACGUGUUGUAGCCGGAGCUACUCUUUUUGGCUCCCAACAUUACCUUCUCAUGCGGUUUUAAAAUGUUCAUUACUAUCAAAAAUAGAACUUCCUAAAGACUAAAGACUGAAACUUCUGAAAUUGGCAACUGAGAGAGAGAUAGCCAGAGGAAGAAGAAGCUAGUGACUUAUUUACUCGUUUUGAUACCUAUAUAAUUUAGUAUAUAUGUAGAUUUUACAAAACUUGUCUUAGUCCAGUGGUUUAAUGCUCAGUUUAGUGCUUCUCUAUGUUUGUUUUUGAGUCUUAGUGAGUAUUUUUUCAAUUAGUUUAGUUAAAACGACGUCGGUUGACUAACCAAACGUUAGUUAAAGUAAUUUUUUAUGUUAAUAUUAAAGUUUGGGUAUGAAAUUCAAAUUAUUGUUCAGUUUGGGUAUGAAAUCACACUUACUCAUUGUCCAGGUCUGAAAAUGCAUGACCGAAAUUGUACGGGUUGAAAUCGGCAUUUUUUCUUUAUUCAACUAAGCAGGGUCUAACGGUUGAGUAACGAUAAGUUAGUCAAGGUAUAAUUUCAUGUUACGGAGUCAAGUUUAGGUCGAAAUUUUUUUAAAAACUCAGUUAAGAAAUGAUUUCGCACUUAUAUUUUGUUUGAGUCUAAAAAAGCACGACGUAAAUUGUUGGGGUCUAAAAAUGUCAUUUUCCCCUCUUUUACAUGUCUCUUUGAAAGCCCUAACUUUCCUAAUUAUAAAACAAACUUUGAAACUCUGUUCUGCUGUGCUUAUCUUAGAAACCCUUUCAUAACUUGCGGCUUAGUUGUUCUUGUCUCGGCUUCUCUGAGUAUACAACACACCGUUAUCAAUCUCUUCUUGUCUCGGUUUCUCUGAGUUUUCAACAAUUGUAUGUUUAUUUAAUCACAUAGGACAUUCUUAUGUUGCACGUAUGCACGUGUGAGGUGAGAAAGGCCUUCUAUUCUAUUGAAUGACUUGGUUUUCAAUUUGUUUACUUUUUCAAUGUAUACGUUUAUCUACACAUAUACUACUAUUUACUCUUUUGAAGUCCUCGAUCCAAUCUUGCCAUGGCGCAAAGCCCAUCCUCUCCUAGGAGCGCAUUGGGCUAUUUAAAACACAGCAAGCAAUUCAAAGUAUAUUCUCAAGCACUUGUACAAGUUCUAACCUUAGAUGAAAGUAUGAGAGUGCGAUUAUGUACUUUUUCCAGCUUACACGAAGUCAUAACCUCAUUUUAAAGAAAAUGUUCACUUUGUUCAAAAAAUCAAGUAUAGUCUCUAGAUUUUUUUUUUUUUGGUUUAAAAGCCUAGUUCGUCAUCUGAUGCUAUCGACGUAGACAUCGGAUUUUGACUAGUUUGCAAUAAAAUGAUAUUGUGAUGAAUUAUUUGUUGAUGCAAUAAUUACAAACAAACAAAAGAUUCCUGGAAAAUAUGACCCAUCCGGUUAUGGAUUAGACAAAUGAAAUAACAUAAAGGUAUUGAUUGGACAAACAAUGGCGAUAAAUUAUUUUCCAACUUCUAAAUUCAUAGUUUAUAAUGAUAGAUAGGAUUCGCAGGGAGAAAAAACACAGACCCUAUUUUCUACCUGACGGACUAUAAGAUUUUGUUCAGAGUAGCAACCAAUAUGUUUUCUUAAGCAAUUGAAUCCUAACGAAACUCCAACUUGGUUAAGAAACGUCACCGUCCUCACUUCACUUCUGUAAAUUGUUGUAUUCCUGAUUUGAAAACCAAUCUCCAAAGACUCUCAACAGCCCAAAAUUUCAUUAAAUCUGCAAAUUGAAGAGUUUUGCCACACCAAAAAAAAUUGCAUGAUGCAUAGAUGUGCCAACCUUUCAAUAACUUUAUUUAGUCCAUACGCGAUCAUAUAUCGAAUAGAUGCAUUGAACACCAGCGUUUGUUAUCCUUUGUUUCGUGAUGCAAGUUAUUAUUUAUUAUAGUCAGCGGUCUUUGAAUCAUAAAUACUUUAGAGAGUCUUGUUCACCACUCUAACCAAACAACUUCUUUCAUUGAUUCAGUACAAAUAUAUUUGUGGUUGAUAGUACUAAUAAUUUUUUAUUACACGACGUCCAGCUUAUCAAACAUGGAAUCAAAAGCAGUGCUUGGCCUUCUUUUCUUCUGAUUAUAUGUAUGUGUAAUCAACAUCACAUAAUUCAUAUACAUAGCUAAACAUCAAGUCGAACUAACCAACACCGGAUAAUUCAUAUAUCUGCUCUAUUAAUUAGAAUCGUACUUUUUAUCUACUUAAAAAAUUAUCAUUUAAGUUUGGAUCUAUUCACAAUUCAUUAGAAAUAAUUACAAUAUUCCCUAUUAUUUGCUUGUACAAUAUAACUCCUGUUCAAAAACGUAUAUUCUUAAAUUUUACUCUUCAAUUUGAUUAUUUAUCAAAACUAUACAAUGAUUCCAACGUAACCAUAGUUCACGAUUCAAAAUUAUUAUCCCUAACCAAUUCUGACCAAAUGAAAUACUAAUCACUACAGUGAUUUGAUAUGUUCCACGUGAUCUAUUGUUUUGAGAAGUGAGCCGAUAAAGCUUUUUUACACAUUUACAUGUGUUAUUUUCCUUAUUAGACAUUUCAAUUUUUCUUUCAGAAUUCAAAUCUUAACAAAACAAUAUCAUAAGAUAUAUUAUUCACUAUGCAAUUGUAAUUUAUAUAUAUAUAUAUAUAGUCUGUAAAUUUUAAAUAAAAAUCUACAAAAUUGUCUCGAUGACAAGUUUUAUUAAAAAAAUAAAAUUAUGCAUUAAACUUGCAUUACAUAAAUUUUAUAAUACUGUUUUUAAAUUUUAAAUAUUAAUUAUUAUUUUUAAAUUAUGAUUUCGAAUUUAAAAAUUGUGUUAGAAGUUAGAACACAAUAUGCGCUAUAAUAAAAUUUUCUAAUUUGUAUUAGUCUACUCUUCAUAUGUUCAAAAAUUGAUUUAUUUAACAUUUUAAAAUAUUUUUCAGUAUAUAGUUACAAAUAGAAAAUAGAAAAUCAAAACUUAAAAUAUAAUAAAAAUAAAAUGAUAUCUUUAAUAUAUUAUUUAUCACAAAAUUUAAAUACUUUUAAUAAAAAUAAUCAAAAUAACAAUUUCUUUGAUUAUACAAAUAGAAAUUAAAAUUUAAAAUAAUUUAAAAUAAUCAACUAUAAUCCGCAUUUAACGUGGAUAAGAAUCUAGUUUAUAAUUAAAUCGGUGAUUUUCUUUUAUUAUAAUUUAUGUGCUUUGAUACAAAGAAAAUUGACCUUGCGAUUUCAUAACAAUUGUCACUUUCGCUAUUUCACGAAGUUUUUUACAUUGUAUUCUUAGAAAUUGGAAAAAAUAAAUAAACAUAUUGUCAGAACCCAGUUUAUGACUAAAAGAAUAGAACUGUUACGUCUUACAUUAAAAACCAUUGUAAUAAAACUGAUAAUAUAGUAUUAUAUUUGAAAUAUUACUAAAAUUUAUAAAAAUAUAAUUAUGUAUACGGUUUUACUUUUACAAAAUGUAAUUGGAUUAAUAUUGUUUUUGUUAUUUUCCAAAUGCCAUGAUAAAUUAUUGCAUCCUUGAGAAAACAAUUUAUUGGAUGCCCGCUAAAUUAUGUCACUUUUUAUAAUAAUACACUUUUUCUUGAAUCUAAGAAUUUAUUCGAUAACUAAUUCGUAAAAUUGUCCUGAAAUGUCAUUUGCUAAAUAAUACUGUAUUUUCGUUGCCGACAUUAUAGUUUAAUAAAUACUUUUUAUGCUAAAUGGAAUUUAUUCUAUUGAUGUGAUAUAAUCGGAUAUCCAAUCAUUUAUGAAAACUUUUCCAAUACCCAAAUUUCAAGUCUAGUCAUUUGAAUUGGUUAUUUUUGUUUAAACUGCUUUGAACUGAUUCUUUUUGCAAAUAAAUGUCCUAGAGAUACAUUUUUUCCACUUUUAACUUACGGCUUAAGAUUCUUCUAUAGUUACUACUAUCAAUUAUACGUAUCAUCUAUACAUUUUAAAUAAGGCGAAUAUCCUAGGACACGGUAUCAAAAAAUAAUCGUUUUUCGUCGUCUACAUUGACACAAAACUCUAAUUUGAUAUUCAGAAUCAAUAUAAAUCUGUUUUAAAUUAACGUCAAAAAAAAAAUACAUUUUAAAUUUAGUGGAGAAACAUUAGAUGAUGAUAACCAUGUUACCACUUCCAGUAUUUACACUUUACGGGACACGAUUCAAUGUCUUUGUACUUGUUGAAGUUCAGUGUACAUAAGAUGUCAUUUAAACCUAUAUAAUAUAGAUUCUUUUUUUUUUGGGCCAAAAUAUAAUAUAGAUUCUUAUCACUACUUUCUAUAAAGCUAACAAAAAUUAAGAGUUGAGAGAUUAAUAUUUCAUUAUUUAUGUGCGUGGUAUUUUUUUUUCUUUUGAACACAUGUGCGUACAUAUGAUGAUUUUAUUUUCGUUUGAAGAUUUCAGUUAUAUUAGUUUUAUGGUAUUUUUUUUUUUAAAAUGCCAUCUUAUCAUCUUAUGUUAUGGUCUUUCAUGUUCUUACGAUUUUUUCAUAUGAAAGGUUUUGUGAUAGGUAACUAUGUAUAUGUAUGGAAAUUUUUUUUUUUUCUUUUGUUAGACGAAUGUUAUUAUGUUUAAAGAAAACAAUUUAGUAGCUAGUUUUGUUUUCUGCUAAAUAGAAAUCAGGCCUUCUAAAUAUGACUUGAGUUAUAUGGAUGUGGUUCAACUUCUUUUAAAAUUCCCAAGUCUCUAUAUAACCCAGCAAUUUAAUUUAGUGUUGCCAAGUAAUUUUUCAUUUUGAUAGUUUAAGGAUCGACUGAAGUGAAAAGUGUUAAACACCUGCUUAACAACUAAAGACUUUCUAUUUAAUUGAAAUUUUUAUCUAAGAUAGGCAGAUUAAAAAUGACUUUUCUGAAAAGUAUACUUAUACAAAAAAUUUAACUAAACUCUAAUGUUUACGAAGCUGCAUGUUCUAGAGAAACGACUGCUCUAUUUGGAACAUCAAAGUACAAAUUUAAUACUAAACUAUUACUAUAAUUAUGAUAAAGAUGCAUCUUAGCAAGUUGGUCAUUACAUAAUGAUACUUUAUGUCGUCGAUAUUCUCCUACUCUCUACACAUAUAUACAUUAGUAUAUUGUCAUAUAAAUGCAUCGGUAGAUAUAUAUACACAUAUAUUGAUUUGUGUACGUAUACGUGAGCCUAAUAAUGGAGAAAAGGCUAUGAAAGAAAGCCUAUGUGACACAGAUUUUGUAGGUACUUAUCUUGAAUCUCCGAACUCCACAAGAAGCAAUACACGUACAUAAUUAAAUCUUCUUUUUUUUUUUUUUUGGUCGAACAUAAUUAAAUCUUCUUUAACGUUUAUGUUAUAAACAAUUACUUUGAUUUUUUGGGGUAAAUUAUUUAUAUUCUGAAAGUUGAUUAUUUUUUUAUUUUUUUAUUUUUGGUCAAAACUGAAAGUUGAUUAUUAAGUUCCGAAGUUCCCAUCUAUGAUUCCUAAUUUGAUAAUUUUCCUGUUACAUAUUUCUUCCGAACAUAAGUGAGAUCUCGAAACUAAUAGCUUCGGUUAUUAUCCAAGUAAGCAGAGGGUAUUUCAUUAAAUUCUUAAUGAAUUGUCAUACUUUUUCGUCUUUGCAGACAUAGAAGCAACGAGUAGAAUAUCGACGUGUACUAGUAGUAGGUUCGGUGUAUAGACAAAAUUAAGAUUCCUAAUUUUUUACUCUUUGGAAAAUAUAUGCUUAUGUACUUAUUUAUAUCAAAAAGCAAGUUUCCCGGGAACAAGGUCCGGCCGCUUGAGUGGAAAGCAGACAAUUAUUAUGAACACAUAAAGCAAAUUUCGAAAUUUUAAUUGAUUACAGAAAAAAAAAACUUAUAUAAAAUUCAGCAUAAUGAAGAAGUAUCCAUGCUUGUUUAAUUAAAAUCACUUGGUAUUGUCGUCGAAUUUGUUGCAAGUUUUUCUUUACACCCUGUAUAUUGGAAGUUCUUAUAAACACUACAGAAAAUGAAUUGAUGGUUGUUGUACAUACCAAUUUAAUUGAUAAUAACAUAAACAUUGACUUCUUAAGACCAUAAACAAUCAAAAAUAAAGAAAGAUUUUACCACACAAAAAAAAAGAAUAAAGAAAGAAUUAUAUUUUACCCAAAAAAAACAUCAAAGAAUAAUCAUGUAAACUAGUUUUCCUGUUUUGUGUAAGCGUAAAACGCUAAAAUAUUUCAAACAAAAAGGUGGAGAAAAUAUUAACCAUCCACUUAUUCAAUAAACAUAAAUAAUUCAAAUUGCUAGUGCAACAAAAAAACAAAAAAAAAUACACAAAAGGUUUCGCCUAUGUUUUACAUUUGUUUUGCUAUAUAAAGCCAUUAAUCCUACAUGCUCUUUAGACAUCUCUUCUUCUCUCAUCUAUCUUUUCUUCUCUUUUUAUCUCACAUAAGCUCUUUUUUACAUAAAUCCAUAUGGUGCCUCAAAGCAAUCCAUGGUCUAGGGUUUGUUUUGAAGAUUGAUUCUAGCACACAUAGAAAAAAAUCUGUGCAUCAAGAAUGAAAAACAUGGGGCAUAUAUAUACGUUUUACUGUUUUGUGCUCUAUAUGUCCAUAUACUUAUUAUAUAUGUACAUAUAUAGCUGUAGAAAUGUUAAUAUGGUCAGGGAUGCUGGGUUGGUGGGGGAAGGGAGCUUUCUUCGGUCCACUCAUAGAAUAAUAUGAUUCAGUCGUGGACCUCCCUGAACAUCUUCCAGACUAAUCUAUGAAGGCUUAUGUUUUUCUUUGUAAUGAGUUGGGAUCUAAAGAAAUGAAGUUUCACUACUAGAAGCAAUAACAAUAUACAAGAUAAGGCUUCUACUAGCUCAUCUAUCCAAAUAACUUCGCUUCUUUCUUUUUGUGGGGGUCAAAACUUCGUUUCUUUCUAUUCCAUGUAAACUAUCAUGUUUCUGGCGUUCGCUCAAUUAAAGGCGACUUGCAAAUAGAUUAUAAGCUAUCACAAGCUAUUACGCAA